This 232-nucleotide long non-coding RNA is filed under the name Gallus gallus (chicken). Lineage: Eukaryota; Metazoa; Chordata; Aves; Galliformes; Phasianidae. The record is from RNAcentral.
GCUGCUGUUUGGCAAAGGUCUGGCAUCUCCUCCCUGCUCGGCUCUGCAGGAGCAUCUGCUGCUGGAUACUGGCCACGGUUCCCUGCACCUCCCACGUCCUCCUUUUGCAGACCCUCCUCGGCGCCGAUCCCCUCCUGCAGGACCUCUCCUGGGAUCCCCACGUCGGCACCUGCUGCUGCAGGGGGAGGAGACGGAGGCAGGCUCAGGGUCAGCACUUCCUGGCAGCACGUGG